AUACGGAGGAUCCGAGCGUUAUCCGGAUUUAUUGGGUUUAAAGGGAGCGUAGAUGGAUGUUUAAGUCAGUUGUGAAAGCUUGCGGCUCAACCGUAAAAUAGCAUCUGAAACUGUAUAUCUUGAGUGCAGUUGAGGAAGGCGGAACUCGAUGUGUAGCGGUGGAAUGCUUAGAUAUUACGAAGAACUCCGAUUGCGAAGGCAGCCUGCUAAGAUGCAACUGACAUUGAGGCUCGAAUGUGUGGGUAUCAAACAGGAUUAGAUACCCUGGUAGUCCACACGGUAAACGAUGAAUACUCGCUGUUUGCGAUAUACGGCAAGCGGCCAAGCUAAAGCGUUAAGUAUUCCACCUGGGGAGUACGACGGCAACGGUGAAACUCAAAUGAAUUGACGGGG
Molecule: ribosomal RNA, 393 nt
Filed under: uncultured bacterium
Lineage: Bacteria
Description: partial 16S ribosomal RNA
Rfam family: Bacterial small subunit ribosomal RNA
Source: RNAcentral